AUGUUGCAAAAAAAGCAUUUAUCUGGUUGUGCGAAAAGAAAAAAGAAGAAACUUGUAGAUGAAUUCAUUGGAACUCAAAAGGGUGCUAUUCAUAAUUUCGUUUUUAAAAAAUCCACUGCCGAGAAUCCAGAGGUAUUAGCUGUUCAUAGUGUUGAAGAAGAACAAUUUGAUGAAAACUUAGUCGAGGAAAAUGUUGACAUUGACGAUUCUACAAAUUUGGGUGGCCAUGAAAAUGUUUCUGAUACUGAAAAUCCUAAAGAAGAUGAACACAAAUCUUCUAGUUUAGAUAUUUAUGACCCUAGAACUUGGGAAAUUCUUGACAAUAAAUCAAGAGACAUUCUAAUAGAGAAAGGGCCUACAAGGGAUUUAAAUCUUGUGUAUCAUCCAGAUGAUAACGGUAGGCAUUUUUCAAAUGCCUACUACUCAAGAAAUCUAAGUAAUGGGGAGGUUAGUGAUAGGAAAUGGUUGGUGUACUCUAAGGAUGCGAAUAAAGUUUACUGUUUUUGCUGCAAAUUGUUCAAAUCGGAAGGUAACAAAAGUCUGUUAGCAUCUGAGGGACUAAGUGAUUGGCAACAUCUUAGCCAGAGGCUCAAACUUCAUGAGAAUAGUAUUGAGCAUAUCACUAACAUGAAUACUUGGAAUGAGGUAAGGCUGAGACUAAAUAAAAAUCAAACAAUUGACAAAAAUUUGCAGCAAGAAAUUGCAAAAGAAAAAGAGCGAUGGAGACAAGUUUUAAUAAGAAUUGUUGCUGCUGUGAAGUUUCUUGCUAAACAUAAUUUGGCUUUUCGAGGAUCGAAUGAGAAACUUUAUCAAGAUAACAAUGGUAACUUUUUGGGAAUAAUAGAAAUGAUGGCAGAAUUUGAUCCUAUAAUGCAGGACCAUAUUAGGCGUAUUCAAAAUAGUGAAAUUCAUCAUCACUAUCUUGGCCAUAAGAUUCAAAAUGAGCUGAUUGAUAUUCUUGCACAAGGUGUUAAAAACACUAUCAUAAGGAUAAUUAAGGAUGCCAAAUAUUUCUCUGUAAUUCUAGACUGUACCCCUGAUGUAAGCCAUCAAGAACAAAUGACUCUAAUUGUGAGGUGUGUAAACAUGUCCAGUAACACUACAAAAAUAGAAGAGUAUUUUCUGGAGUUCUUGAAGGUAGAUGAUACAUCUGGACUAGGACUCUUCAAUGAGUUAGUAGGCGCCCUUAAAUCUCUUGAUUUGAAUGUUAAUGAUGUUAGAGGUCAAGGCUACGAUAAUGGUUCUAACAUGAAAGGAAAACAUCAAGGUGUUAAAACACGUUUGCUUGAAAUAAAUCCUAGAGCAUUGUACAUGCCAUGUUCCUGUCAUAGCCUCAAUCUUACACUUUGUGACAUGGAAAAAUCAUGUAGCAAAGCUAUGACCUUCUUUGGAGUUGUGCAACGAAUUUAUACAUUGUUUUCGGGUUCUACUAAAAGAUGGGAGGUAUUGGUUAAUAAAGUUAAAGAUCUAACUUUGAAACCUUUGUGUGAUACUCGCUGGGAGAGUCGAAUAAAAAGUGUCCAUGCUAUUCGGUAUCAAGCUCCUCAGAUAUUGUUAGCUUUAUUGGAAUUGGAAAGAACUUCUAGUGAUGACCCAAAAACUAAGAGCGAUGCACAUUCUUUGGUUACUGCACUUAAGAAUUUUGAACUUUUACUUGGUAUGGUCAUUUGGCAUGACGUUUUAUUUACCAUAAACACUAUAAGUAAGAAGUUGCAGUCUAAAUUUGUUUGCAUUGACAUUACCCUUAAGCAAAUUGAAGGUGCAAUCUCAUUUUUCCAGAAGUACAGAACUGAUGGCUUUACAUCUAGCUUAAAUAUUGCAAAAUCUAUUGCAUCUGCCAUGGAUAUUGAACCUAGAUUUCUGACGAAACGUCGUGUUACGAGAAAAAGACACUUUGAUGAAAAUAAUGACGAUGAAGAAAAUGUUAUAAAUGCAGAAGCACAAGCAGCCGAGGAGGAGUCGUUUAGAGUUAAAUAUUUUCUAGUCAUGAUAGAUGUAGCGAUUGCUUCACUAACCAAAAGAUUUGAGGAUUUGAAGUCAUUUGAAAGUAUAUUUGGUUUCUUGUUCAACUCCAAAAAGUUGAAGUCUUUGGAUGAUAAAGAACUUACAGAAUGUUGCACUAAAUUUUCAAAUACGUAUUCUCAUGGUAGCUCGUCAGAUGUUAAUUUAGAUGAUUUCUGUUCUGAACUAAGAGUGCUUCAAAUGACUUUACCGAAUAGAUUAAUGUCAGCAGAUGAGAUUUUUGAUUUUGUUAGAGCUGCAGAUUGCUAUCAAAAUGUGUCCAUUGCUUAUCGAAUCCUCUUAACUGUUCCUGUUACUGUAGCAUCUGCUGAAAGAAGUUUUUCAAAACUAAAAUGA
RNAcentral lists this ribosomal RNA (2358 nucleotides) under Triticum aestivum (bread wheat). RNAcentral's name for it is "partial small subunit ribosomal RNA". Lineage: Eukaryota; Viridiplantae; Streptophyta; Magnoliopsida; Poales; Poaceae. The record is from RNAcentral.